Molecule: long non-coding RNA, 1072 nt
Filed under: Daphnia pulex (common water flea)
Lineage: Eukaryota; Metazoa; Arthropoda; Branchiopoda; Diplostraca; Daphniidae
Description: uncharacterized LOC124192299, transcript variant X2
Source: RNAcentral
GAAAAACUGUAGUCUGAUUCAGUGAUUAGAAAACAUGUUGCUGCGGUAACGCCUAAUGUGAUUGCCGCGUUAUUGAGUUAAUUCUUAAUUGGAUUUAUAUUAUCCUGGAGAAAUAAAAUCACGUAUUCCCAUAUGACUGUAGACUGAAACUGUACAGUACCUGAUGUUGUUGCUUGCUAAAGUUGUUAUAAAGCAAGCAUGGCUGGUAUGCUACGUGAAAACCACAAGAAAAUUGUCUAUCUUCAUAACCAUAUGCUGAAUGUUCCUUUUAAUCACAUCUUCCGUUGCAUAAUUGCAUCUUUGUAGCCCGACAGUUGUGGAAUCAUAUGCACAGUGCAGGUUCAUUCAUGCUGUGAAUGAUGAAUGCUUCUGUAUCAUGCAUGUUAGGGUGUACCUCCUACAGCAGAUGGAGGAUGUUUGGGAGGGAAGAUAUUGACGACCCUACCUGACCCUACAAAGCCAGAGUGUCAUGGUUGUUCUUCACUGCUGACCUGCAUAAACACCCAUCAAAAGUUCAUUCAUGCCCGUGAAUGAUAGAUGCUUCUGUAUCAUGCAUAUUUCGGUGUGUGGAAGUAGUUGUGAAAUAUUAAGGACCAUAUACCCUGCACUUUCGCCUUACAUCAGGAAGAUUUAAUUAAGCAGAAACCUUCGUACAGCAGAUCGAGAUUGAAGAGAAGAAAUUGACGAUUCCAGCAAGAGUGUCUGAUUCAUCUUUGUGUCGAUGUUUGGCGAGGAAAUUGACGACCCAACAAGAGCGAUACUGAGAGAGCGUCGUUCUUCAGAAGUGACCUGCAUCAACGCCUGUAAAAAAUUCUGGAAUCAGACUGAACGAGAUUUUGCUUCCGGAAGAAAAACUGCGAUAACAGGGGCAUACAGACUACCACACGUUCAACGCGGGUCAUCUAUUUCUGUUGUUGGUAAUAUGUUUUUGUUAGUUAAUCCGUUGGUUGCCACGCCUUUGUUCUCCCCUAGCUCCUUAGCACGGGCCGCGCUGUUCGGUCUCGUGGUUUACAUGCCGCGGGGUCGGACAGUCGCACCAGCCCAAGAUUCGCCGAAAGGCCCCGUUAGGCAA